RNAcentral lists this ribosomal RNA (779 nucleotides) under Salmonella enterica subsp. enterica serovar Thompson. RNAcentral describes it as "partial 23S ribosomal RNA". It matches the Rfam family "Bacterial large subunit ribosomal RNA", at positions 2164 to 2925 of the family's 2925-position model. Lineage: Bacteria; Pseudomonadati; Pseudomonadota; Gammaproteobacteria; Enterobacterales; Enterobacteriaceae. The record is from RNAcentral. RNAcentral also lists the same sequence under 5 other names.
GUGGACGCCAGUCUGCAUGGAGCCGACCUUGAAAUACCACCCUUUAAUGUUUGAUGUUCUAACGUGGACCCGUAAUCCGGGUUGCGGACAGUGUCUGGUGGGUAGUUUGACUGGGGCGGUCUCCUCCUAAAGAGUAACGGAGGAGCACGAAGGUUGGCUAAUCCUGGUCGGACAUCAGGAGGUUAGUGCAAUGGCAUAAGCCAGCUUGACUGCGAGCGUGACGGCGCGAGCAGGUGCGAAAGCAGGUCAUAGUGAUCCGGUGGUUCUGAAUGGAAGGGCCAUCGCUCAACGGAUAAAAGGUACUCCGGGGAUAACAGGCUGAUACCGCCCAAGAGUUCAUAUCGACGGCGGUGUUUGGCACCUCGAUGUCGGCUCAUCACAUCCUGGGGCUGAAGUAGGUCCCAAGGGUAUGGCUGUUCGCCAUUUAAAGUGGUACGCGAGCUGGGUUUAGAACGUCGUGAGACAGUUCGGUCCCUAUCUGCCGUGGGCGCUGGAGAACUGAGGGGGGCUGCUCCUAGUACGAGAGGACCGGAGUGGACGCAUCACUGGUGUUCGGGUUGUCAUGCCAAUGGCACUGCCCGGUAGCUAAAUGCGGAAGAGAUAAGUGCUGAAAGCAUCUAAGCACGAAACUUGCCCCGAGAUGAGUUCUCCCUGAGACUUAGAGUCUCCUGAAGGAACGUUGAAGACGACGACGUUGAUAGGCCGGGUGUGUAAGCGCAGCGAUGCGUUGAGCUAACCGGUACUAAUGAACCGUGAGGCUUAACCUUACAACGCCGAAG